AGCCUUCUGUAUCUGUGCUGAGAUUUCGUCAGCGAUCAACCCAUUGGCACUGGUUGAUGAAACUUCCGAAUAAGUGAAGUG
This 81-nucleotide microRNA precursor is filed under the name Trichobilharzia regenti. Its description in RNAcentral is "mir-3492 microRNA precursor family". It matches the Rfam family "mir-3492 microRNA precursor family". Lineage: Eukaryota; Metazoa; Platyhelminthes; Trematoda; Strigeidida; Schistosomatidae. The record is from Rfam by way of RNAcentral.